RNAcentral lists this ribosomal RNA (1518 nucleotides) under Triticum aestivum (bread wheat). Its description in RNAcentral is "partial small subunit ribosomal RNA". Lineage: Eukaryota; Viridiplantae; Streptophyta; Magnoliopsida; Poales; Poaceae. The record is from RNAcentral.
AUGGGUGUACUUCCGUUGGCACGACACUACCUCUGUGGCGUCACUGGUGUUUAUUCUCAUCGUCGUCUUGAGCGAGGUAUUCAGCAAGCACAGAAUCAUGGACCGUGCACUGCAAGUCGCCAUGACCCUGGACCUGUUCACCCUGGUUGUCGCCCAUGGCAGGAGACUUGCGGCACGUGGCGAAGAGUGUUGAGGGAGAAGAUGAAGCACUGUGUACCCAAUUGGCUCAACAAGUUAUAUGAGCUGCCAAUGAAAGGGCACCCUGACGGGGAAGCAUUGGGAUGGAAUUUGGAGGACGAGCGCCAUUUUGUAUUGCUCGUUGCAAUAAUGAUUUCAAAUGGCAUCGUCACAUACAACCCAGGCAUGAGCCUAUCACCCAGCUUUCAGUUAGAGAAUCGGUUCGACCAUGCCAUGGAGAACCGGGCAUUCCACUCCAACGAAUUUUAUGCAGGAAACCUCACGAACAAAGUCAGCAUGAGUUCUGUGUCCAGCUUAUGGCAAGAGAAUACCUCAGCCAACCUGAACCUGGCUUUCUACUGCAAUGCAACUGCCUUUACUGGGUUCCUAGUUACCAUCAUGCUGCUGGCGAACAGGGAGCUCUCAUCAAGAAGAAUGCAGUGGUACGUGCUGCGGCUGUGCCCAGUUCUCGAAGUGAUCGGCUUCCUGGGCACGUGGAACCCCCUCACGAAAUCGAUGGAGGAGAUAUUUGAAGCUGUCUUCUUAAUUCUACUCGGCAUUGCAUACUGUGUUAUAAUGUCAAGACGUCCGUGGCAGAGAGUUCAAUCGAUGCUCGGAUGGCUCCAGCAUACUUUUCGAGUGGAUCCCUCGGAGGAAGAGGGCUCAGAGGAAGAGCUGGAGUUCGGCCUAGCAGGUGGGGGCACGAACGGGGAGCCCGUGGCAGUGGAGAUUUCUGCGCCGGUUCUUGGGGGUGCACUCACCCUCGUCUUGGCCAUACCGGUGAUGCGCAUGCUCGCAAGUCCGGUGAAGAUGGUCCUGGCAUUCUUUGUUGCCUCAAUUGGAGCAGACCUUUGGCGAAGGUUGCUCGCUCGUUUACUGAGCGCGCUGGCCAUGGCUCUCCAUCAUCGGCGCAACCCAGGUCAAGGUUCCGUGCCAACUGUCUCCUCGGGGCGGAAUGGAUGGUAUAUGAUUUUAGCUACGUGCAAUGGACUCUGCAAGGUGAUCCGCGCGCUCUGCUCCAAAGCAUGCGUGUGGAUACUGGUGUUCGUGAUCUGGUUCCCUUCCCUGAUGCCCAACCUGAAGCUGAAGUUCAAGAUCCCCAAGAUAUCAGCUCUUGUUGGUGUGCUGAUUGCACUUGCUACCACGGCAACGACAACGACUACCGUGGACUCCCCGACCACGGAAAUUACAGCUACUGAGAUGUCCACCUCGACCACAGCCAUAACUGCCUCAGGCACCAGCAGCAGCAGGAGCCGCAAGCAUCCACCUCGUGUUGAUGAAAGACCCAGGAGGAGCUGUAGGCCCAACAAGCGCCUCAUGGGUGAGGAGUGGGUAAAUUAG